UCUUCUUUUCUUAAGCAUAGCAAAUAUGUGUAAAGCUAUUUAUUUGUUUAGCCUGACUUACUGUGACAAUGGUCUGCUCUGGAACUAAAUCCCAAGGAGUAUUUUAGUGCAUGAAGCUGCAUGUUUUUCAGCCUCCAGUGAAGGUCCUGAGAGCUGAAUUCUCCAGUUGUUCAUUGUUCCAUUCUUUCAGACUUGGUCAUGUGGUGCUGGAAGCAGCAGCACCACCAAGCACUGCAAAUGCUUUUCUGCUCUACCCCGUACGUCCUGGAAUCGUGCAGCAUUCAGCAAGAACAUGGUAUGGGUGCCAAAGAAUUAAUGAUCUUUAAUAACCCUGUGGUGGAAUGGCCUACUUUUAUAGCAGCAAGUUUAUGCCUAAUGAGAUACAGAUAUUCCCCUCUCCAUAUUUCUGUCCAAUAUAUGCUGCAGGAUAAAAAAAAUUGGCAUGCUGCUGGUGUUCAACAAGGGCCUGAUUCACAGGGAUACAGACUGACAGAGCCCAAGAUCUUCCAUAAGCAUACACUAAACCCUAAGGCAGAAAUUCAGCAGUUUUUUGGUUGUUUUGCUUUCUGAAACCAGAAAGGGUUUUUUGAAGCAUUUGAAGCAGGAGCUGAUUGAGCACCUCUCAGGACUCAUCCUUGUAGCUGUGGUGAUUUCAGUUUGAACCAACUCAAACCACCAAAACAAAGAGACUCUGAGCUCUCCUGUCUCCUGUGCUCUGCUCCUCAGCCUGAGUAACAGAGCAGCUGGAACACAAGGACUCACCAAAGGAACAGUUGUGUUUAUUCCAUUACUCAACAGCCAUUACCCAGAUGAAGUCAUAAUAGCCAAUAAGACCCCAUAAAAUGAUAAUGCUUGAGAAUACCUUAACUUGUCUGAAUGUAACCCCAAAUUAAUAACGUUUGAAUAUUCUCUUCCCAGCUUCUUCACUGCAGUAGAACAGCUAUAGCACUUAAUCUAGUUAUUGCUCUGGAAAAAAAAGGAUUAUAGAUACCCGAGUGGCCAGUCCAUGGUAAUGAUUUCAGCUGGAAGUUUUUGACUCUAAGAAAAAAAACCAAUCAUGGCACCUUAACCAGAGAUGAGAACUUCAGCAAAUAAAAGCCAACUGUGUGUACACCUACAUGUUUUUGUCCAUGUUAUGCAGAAUACCCUUUAUUUUGUUUGUUUGGGUUUUUCUCUUGCAGUAGUUUUCCAUUCUAUUAAUUUCCUCACUCCCAGCCAGGGCCCCCAAAAACCAAAGGAUUAAAUUAAAAGGAACAAAUUCAGUUGAAAUGAGAAGUGUUAUUUUCUGGUAUAAAUCAUCUCACCAGAUCACAGCAAGCUUUUACCUUUGCAAGGCAGUUCUCUCACUCCUGGUAGGACAUAAGCUACCAGAGUACAGACUGUACUAACAGCCAUUAUUUCAAAUGUGGGACCUCAUCAGGCAGUGAUGGGACAAACACACCUGAACCUCUAGCAAAUA
Passer domesticus (house sparrow) is the source of this 1459-nucleotide long non-coding RNA. RefSeq lists it as uncharacterized. The transcript is spliced from 2 exons. The record is from RefSeq and is a predicted model, not a curated record. Lineage: Eukaryota; Metazoa; Chordata; Aves; Passeriformes; Passeridae.